RNAcentral lists this ribosomal RNA (473 nucleotides) under uncultured organism. Its description in RNAcentral is "partial 16S ribosomal RNA". It matches the Rfam family "Bacterial small subunit ribosomal RNA", at positions 332 to 797 of the family's 1533-position model. The record is from RNAcentral.
UACACUCCUGCGGGAGGCAGCAGUGGGGAAUAUUGCACAAUGGGCGCAAGCCUGAUGCAGCCAUGCCGCGUGUAUGAAGAAGGCCUUCGGGUUGUAAAGUACUUUCAGCGGGGAGGAAGGCGAUAAGGUUAAUAACCUUGUCGAUUGACGUUACCCGCAGAAGAAGCACCGGCUAACUCCGUGCCAGCAGCCGCGGUAAUACGGAGGGUGCAAGCGUUAAUCGGAAUUACUGGGCGUAAAGCGCACGCAGGCGGUCUGUCAAGUCGGAUGUGAAAUCCCCGGGCUCAACCUGGGAACUGCAUUCGAAACUGGCAGGCUAGAGUCUUGUAGAGGGGGGUAGAAUUCCAGGUGUAGCGGUGAAAUGCGUAGAGAUCUGGAGGAAUACCGGUGGCGAAGGCGGCCCCCUGGACAAAGACUGACGCUCAGGUGCGAAAGCGUGGGGAGCAAACAGGAUUAGAAACCCGGGUAGUCCA